RNAcentral lists this transfer RNA (75 nucleotides) under Candidatus Poribacteria bacterium. Its description in RNAcentral is "tRNA-Glu". It matches the Rfam family "tRNA". Rfam says of the family: Transfer RNA (tRNA) molecules are approximately 80 nucleotides in length. Their secondary structure includes four short double-helical elements and three loops (D, anti-codon, and T loops). Lineage: Bacteria; Candidatus Poribacteria. The record is from RNAcentral.
GCCCCGUUCGUCUAGCCUGGUCCAGGACACCAGCCUUUCACGCUGGCGACACGGGUUCAAAUCCCGUACGGGGUA